UCUUUUCCGUAUCGCCAUGAUGGGCCGUCAUGUUGUGACUCCGCCGCUGGGGGAAGUCCGGUUCGAAUCCGGCGCUGGCCCGCAACGGUAGGCCGCCGGCUCCUGGUCGGCGGCGAGCCCGAGUACCCGUCGGCGGAGGCGUGUCGUC
Molecule: non-coding RNA, 148 nt
Organism: Streptomyces sp. CB02056
Lineage: Bacteria; Bacillati; Actinomycetota; Actinomycetes; Kitasatosporales; Streptomycetaceae
Source: Rfam